This 468-nucleotide ribosomal RNA is filed under the name uncultured bacterium. Its description in RNAcentral is "partial 16S ribosomal RNA". It matches the Rfam family "Bacterial small subunit ribosomal RNA", at positions 28 to 507 of the family's 1533-position model. The record is from RNAcentral.
GACGAACGCUGGCGGCGUGCUUAACACAUGCAAGUCGAACGGAAAGGCCCUGCUUUUGUGGGGUGCUCGAGUGGCGAACGGGUGAGUAACACGUGAGUAACCUGCCCUUGACUUUGGGAUAACUUCAGGAAACUGGGGCUAAUACCGGAUAGGAGCUCCUGCUGCAUGGUGGGGGUUGGAAAGUUUCGGCGGUUGGGGAUGGACUCGCGGCUUAUCAGCUUGUUGGUGGGGUAGUGGCUUACCAAGGCUGUGACGGGUAGCCGGCCUGAGAGGGUGACCGGCCACAUUGGGACUGAGAUACGGCCCAGACUCCUACGGGAGGCAGCAGUGGGGAAUAUUGCACAAUGGGCGGAAGCCUGAUGCAGCAACGCCGCGGGCGGGAUGACGGCCUUCGGGUUGUAAACCGCUUUCGCCUGUGACGAAGCGUGAGUGACGGUAAUGGGUAAAGAAGCACCGGCUAACUACGUG